RNAcentral lists this long non-coding RNA (649 nucleotides) under Cricetulus griseus (Chinese hamster). RNAcentral's name for it is "lncRNA (ENSCGRG00000025152.1)". The record is from RNAcentral. Lineage: Eukaryota; Metazoa; Chordata; Mammalia; Rodentia; Cricetidae.
UUAAAGGUGUGCUCCACCACCACCCGGCCUUCUGCUUUCAUUUUCUUUAGGACCUACCUUCCCCCUUGUAGGCUUUAACUCCCUUUUGUGAGAAUGUGAAACAUGUCCCUGGUUCUGAAAUGACAACCAAAGGAGAGCCCAGGAAAGGGCAUUCUUCUCUGACUCUGUCAUUCCAGAGCUGAACCAGCUCAUCUUUCUUGUCACAGAUCCCAGCAUGGUCAGUGCCUACAUGUACCCAACAGGUGCCCCUGCGGCACAAGCAGCCCCACAGGCCCAGGCGGGGCCCACCACCAGCCCUGCCUACUCUUCCUACCAGCCCACUCCAACCCCAGGCUACCAGGCUCCGCAGAGCCUCCCAGCCAUCUCCCAGCCUCCACAGACCAGCACCAUAGGCUACAUGGGGAGCCAGCCAAUGUCCAUGGGUUACCAGCCGUACAACAUGCAGAGUCUCAUGACCACCCUUCCAGGCCAGGAUGCAUCUCUGCCAGCCCAGCAGGCCUACAUCGCAGGGCAGCAGCCCAUGUACCAGCAGGUGAGCCAUCUCCAGGGCCCUUCCCCAGCCCUUGAACUCUUGGGUGUCCUUUGAUCACCUGCAUUAGGUUCAUACCCAGGGGCUUUUUUCAGCCAUCAGUGCAAACACAUACAUCCA